This 269-nucleotide ribosomal RNA is filed under the name uncultured prokaryote. Its description in RNAcentral is "partial 16S ribosomal RNA". It matches the Rfam family "Bacterial small subunit ribosomal RNA", at positions 355 to 621 of the family's 1533-position model. The record is from RNAcentral.
UGAGGAAUAUUGGUCAAUGGGCGAGAGCCUGAACCAGCCAAGUCGCGUGAAGGAAGAAGGUUCUAUGGAUUGUAAACUUCUUUUGCAGGGGAAUAAAGGACGGUACGUGUACUGUUUUGUAUGUACCUUGCGAAUAAGGAUCGGCUAACUCCGUGCCAGCAGCCGCGGUCAUGCGGAGGAUCCGAGCGUUAUCCGGAUUUAUUGGGUUUAAAGGGUGCGUAGGUGGAUUGGUAAGGCAGUGGGGAAAGUUUUGAGCUCAACCGAAAAAU